AUACGGAGGAUCCGAGCGUUAUCCGGAUUUAUUGGGUUUAAAGGGAGCGUAGGCGGAGGAUCAAGUCAGCUGUGAAAUGUAGACGCUCAACGUCUGCACUGCAGUUGAAACUGGUCCCCUUGAGUGCGUAAGGGGCAGGCGGAAUUCGUCGUGUAGCGGUGAAAUGCUUAGAUAUGACGAAGAACUCCGAUCGCGAAGGCAGCUUGCCGGGCCGCAACUGACGCUGAAGCUCGAAGGUGCGGGUAUCGAACAGGAUUAGAUACCCUGGUAGUCCGCACAGUAAACGAUGGAUACUCGCUGUCGGCGAUAUACGGUCGGUGGCCAAGCGAAAGCGUUAAGUAUCCCACCUGGGGAGUACGCCGGCAACGGUGAAACUCAAAGGAAUCGACGGGG
RNAcentral lists this ribosomal RNA (393 nucleotides) under uncultured bacterium. RNAcentral describes it as "partial 16S ribosomal RNA". It matches the Rfam family "Bacterial small subunit ribosomal RNA", at positions 523 to 918 of the family's 1533-position model. The record is from RNAcentral.